CAGUAGCCACGGUAAUACGAAGGGUGCAAGCGUUACUCGGAAUUACUGGGCGUAAAGCGUGCGUAGGUGGUGGUUUAAGUCCGUUGUGAAAGCCCUGGGCUCAACCUGGGAAUUGCAGUGGAUACUGGGUCACUAGAGUGUGGUAGAGGAUAGUGGAAUUUCCGGUGUAGCAGUGAAAUGCGUAGAGAUCGGAAGGAACAUCUGUGGCGAAGGCGGCCAUCUGGGACAACACUGACGCUGAGGCACGAAAGCGUGGGGAGCAAACAGGAUUAGAUACCCGAGUAGUCCCUGUCUCUUAUAC
This 301-nucleotide ribosomal RNA is filed under the name uncultured bacterium. RNAcentral's name for it is "partial 16S ribosomal RNA". It matches the Rfam family "Bacterial small subunit ribosomal RNA", at positions 509 to 807 of the family's 1533-position model. The record is from RNAcentral.